Long non-coding RNA from Monomorium pharaonis (pharaoh ant), 518 nucleotides. RefSeq lists it as uncharacterized. Lineage: Eukaryota; Metazoa; Arthropoda; Insecta; Hymenoptera; Formicidae. The record is from RefSeq and is a predicted model, not a curated record. The transcript is spliced from 3 exons.
AUCCAUGGUUUUAAUUACUGUUUUGAUCUAGAAAAAAGCACGAGUCGAUUAUCAAUCAACAGAAAAGGUCUAAGGUUGACUUCAAAGUCAAACUAAAUGUCGACUUACGUCGAUAAAAAUGUCUUGACUAUAGUCUACUACAAUCUGCCAGUAAGUCAACUUAGAAAUCUACUUUAUGGCGACUAAAAGUCAAUUUUUAACCGAGGUUGUAUGGAUUUUUCAGUUUUUAUUGUUGUAUUAAACAUAAAAGUAAUAAACAGAUGUUAGUAAAACUUUACAACAAUACAUCUUAACGGUCCAGAAAAGUACUGUUAAAUUUUUGAAACGAUGCACUUGAUCGUUUGAGUAAUAUAACUGAUAAAAUAUAAAAAUUUAUAAUCAAAGUAAUGCAGCACGUAAGUAUGAUAAAUGUGUACUAGUGAUCUAACAUGAAUUUCAAAUUGUUGUAUUUAGUUAUCUAAGAGUGGUAUAAUAGUAAAAAAUGUUUAUUCUCAAUUUUUAAAAUAAUUAUUGUAGUA